UCUACGGGGAGGCAGCAGUGGGGAAUAUUGGACAAUGGGCGAAAGCCUGAUCCAGCCAUGCCGCGUGUGUGAAGAAGGCCUUCGGGUUGUAAAGCACUUUCAGUGGGGAAGAAAGCCUUGGGGCUAAUACCCUCGAGGAAGGACAUCACCCACAGAAGAAGCACCGGCUAACUCCGUGCCAGCAGCCGCGGUAAUACGGAGGGUGCGAGCGUUAAUCGGAAUUACUGGGCGUAAAGCGCGCGUAGGCGGUCUGAUAAGCCGGUUGUGAAAGCCCCGGGCUCAACCUGGGAACGGCAUCCGGAACUGUCAGGCUAGAGUGCAGGAGAGGAAGGUAGAAUUCCCGGUGUAGCGGUGAAAUGCGUAGAGAUCGGGAGGAAUACCAGUGGCGAAGGCGGCCUUCUGGACUGACACUGACGCUGAGGUGCGAAAGCGUGGGUAGCAAACAGGAUUAGAUACCCCAGUAGUC
RNAcentral lists this ribosomal RNA (466 nucleotides) under Vreelandella stevensii. RNAcentral's name for it is "partial 16S ribosomal RNA". It matches the Rfam family "Bacterial small subunit ribosomal RNA", at positions 337 to 795 of the family's 1533-position model. Lineage: Bacteria; Pseudomonadati; Pseudomonadota; Gammaproteobacteria; Oceanospirillales; Halomonadaceae. The record is from RNAcentral.